This 715-nucleotide ribosomal RNA is filed under the name fungal sp. RNAcentral's name for it is "eukaryotic LSU rRNA". The stretch from base 459 to 715 matches the Rfam family "Eukaryotic large subunit ribosomal RNA", at positions 1 to 261 of the family's 3401-position model. Lineage: Eukaryota; Fungi. The record is from RNAcentral.
UACCGAGUUUACAACUCCCAAACCCCUGUGAACAUACCAUUUGUUGCCUCGGCGGUGCCUGCUUCGGCAGCCCGCCAGAGGACCCAAACCCUUGAUUUUAUACAGUAUCUUCUGAGUAAAUGAUUAAAUAAAUCAAAACUUUCAACAACGGAUCUCUUGGUUCUGGCAUCGAUGAAGAACGCAGCGAAAUGCGAUAAGUAAUGUGAAUUGCAGAAUUCAGUGAAUCAUCGAAUCUUUGAACGCACAUUGCGCCCGCCAGUAUUCUGGCGGGCAUGCCUGUUCGAGCGUCAUUUCAACCCUCAAGCCCCCGGGCUUGGUGUUGGAGAUCGGCGUGCCCCCCGGGGCGCGCCGCCUCCCAAAUAUAGUGGCGGUCUCGCUGUAGCUUCCUCUGCGUAGUAGCACACCUCGCACUGGAAAACAGCGUGGCCACGCCGUUAAACCCCCCACUUCUGAAAGGUUGACCUCGGAUCAGGUAGGAAUACCCGCUGAACUUAAGCAUAUCAAUAAGCGGAGGAAAAGAAACCAACAGGGAUUGCCCUAGUAACGGCGAGUGAAGCGGCAACAGCUCAAAUUUGAAAUCUGGCCCUCGGGUCCGAAUUGUAAUUUGUAGAGGAUGCUUUUGGUGAGGUACCUUCCGAGUUCCCUGGAACGGGACGCCAUAGAGGGUGAGAGCCCCGUCUGGUCGGAUACCGAUCCUCUGUAAAGCUCCUUCGAC